UGAGUGCGAGCUUCUACGGAAGCGAAGUUGGUGACGUCAAGCUUCCAAGAAAAGCCCUAUACCCGUUAAGGCAUGAUUACCUGUACCCGAAACCGACACAGGUGGGGUGGUAGAGAAUACCGAGGGGCGCGAGGUAACUCUCUCUAAGGAACUCGGCAAAAUGACCCCGUAACUUCGGGAGAAGGGGUGCCAGCGCGAGCUGGUCGCAGUGAAUAGGCCCAGGCGACUGUUUACCAAAAACACAGGUCUCCGCUAAGUCGCAAGACGAUGUAUGGGGGCUGACGCCUGCCCAGUGCCGGAAGGUUAAAGAAGUUGGUCAGCGCAAGCGAAGCUAACGACUGAAGCCCCGGUGAACGGCGGCCGUAACGAUAACGGUCCUAAGGUAGCGAAAUUCCUUGUCGGGUAAGUUCCGACCCGCACGAAAGGCGUAACGAUCUGGGCGCUGUCUCGGAGAGAGGCUCGGCGAAAUAGAAUUGUCUGUGAAGAUGCGGACUACGUGCACCCGGACAGAAAGACCCUAUGAAGCUUUACUGUAGCUUGGUAUUGUGCUCGGGCUCGCAAUGCGCAGGAUAGGUGGGAGGCUUUGAUCCAUUGCUUGUGGGUGAUGGUGAGCCACUGGUGAGAUACCACUCUUUGCGAGCUAGGGUUCUAACGGUUACCCGUCAUCCGGGAACCGGACAGUAUCUGGUGGGCAGUUUGACUGGGGCGGUCGCCUCCUAAAAGGUAACGGAGGCGCGCAAAGGUUUGCUCAGGCUGGUUGGAAAUCAGCCGACGAGUGUAAAAGCAGAAGCAAGCUUGACUGUGAGACCUACAAGUCGAGCAGGGAGGAAACUCGGCUUUAGUGAUCCGACGGUUCUGAGUGGAAGGGCCGUCGCUCAACGGAUAAAAGUUACUCUAAGGAUAACAGGCUGAUCUCCCCCAAGAGUUCACAUCGACGGGGAGGUUUGGCACCUCGAUGUCGGCUCAUCGCAACCUGGGGCUGAAGUCGGUCCAAGGGUUGGGCUGUUCGCCCAUUAAAGCGGUACGCGAGCUGGGUUCAGAACGUCGUGAGACAAUUCGGUCCAUAUCCGGUGCAUGCGCAGGAAUAUUGAGAGGAUUUCUCCCUAGUACGAGAGGACCGGGAGGAACGCACCUCUGGUGUACCAGUUAUCGUGCCAACGGUAAACGCUGGGUAGCCAUGUGCGGAGUGGAUAACCGCUGAAAGCAUCUAAGUGGGAAGCCCACCUCAAGAUGAGUAUUCCCAUGGCUUAAGCCAGUAAGGUCACGGGAAGAACACCCGUUGAUAGGCUCUAUGUGGAAGCGCAGUAAUGCGUGAAGCAGAGGAGUACUAAUAGACCGAGGGCUUG
Molecule: ribosomal RNA, 1346 nt
Filed under: metagenome
Description: bacterial LSU rRNA
Rfam family: Bacterial large subunit ribosomal RNA
Source: RNAcentral